CCUACGGGGGGCAGCAGUGGGGAAUAUUGCACAAUGGGGGAAACCCUGAUGCAGCAACGCCGCGUGAGCGAUGAAUGCCUUCGGGUCGUAAAGCUCUGUCCUAAGGGAAGAAUACUGACGGUACCUCAGGAGGAAGCCCCGGCUAACUACGUGCCCGCAGCCGCGGUAAUACGUAGGGGGCUAGCGUUAUCCGGAAUUACUGGGCGUAAAGGGUGCGUAGGCGGCCCUUCAAGUCAGAGGUGAAAGGCUACGGCUCAACCGUAGUAAGCCUUUGAAACUGUAGGGCUUGAGUGUAGGAGAGGAGAGCAGAAUUCCCAGUGUAGCGGUGAAAUGCGUAGAUAUUGGGAGUAUCACUAGUUGCGAAGGCGGCUCUCUGGACUGUAACUGACGCUGAGGCACCAAAGCGUGGGGAUCAAACAGGAUUAGAUACCCUAGUAGUC
Molecule: ribosomal RNA, 440 nt
Filed under: uncultured bacterium
Lineage: Bacteria
Description: bacterial SSU rRNA
Rfam family: Bacterial small subunit ribosomal RNA
Source: RNAcentral